GAUGAACGCUGGCGGCGUGCCUAAUACAUGCAAGUCGAGCGAACAGACGAGGAGCUUGCUCCUCUGAUGUUAGCGGCGGACGGGUGAGUAACACGUGGAUAACCUACCUAUAAGACUGGGAUAACUUCGGGAAACCGGAGCUAGUACCGGAUAACAUGUUGAACCGCAUGGUUCAACAGUGAAAGACGGUCUUGCUGUCACUUAUAGAUGGAUCCGCGCCGCAUUAGCUAGUUGGUAAGGUAACGGCUUACCAAGGCAACGAUGCGUAGCCGACCUGAGAGGGUGAUCGGCCACACUGGAACUGAGACACGGUCCAGACUCCUACGGGAGGCAGCAGUAGGGAAUCUUCCGCAAUGGGCGAAAGCCUGACGGAGCAACGCCGCGUGAGUGAAGAAGGUCUUCGGAUCGUAAAACUCUGUUAUUAGGGAAGAACAAAUGUGUAAGUAACUAUGCACGUCUUGACGGUACCUAAUCAGAAAGCCACGGCUAACUACGUG
Molecule: ribosomal RNA, 497 nt
Filed under: uncultured bacterium
Lineage: Bacteria
Description: partial 16S ribosomal RNA
Rfam family: Bacterial small subunit ribosomal RNA
Source: RNAcentral